Molecule: long non-coding RNA, 4516 nt
Organism: Pteropus alecto (black flying fox)
Lineage: Eukaryota; Metazoa; Chordata; Mammalia; Chiroptera; Pteropodidae
Exons: 2
Source: RefSeq, a predicted model, not a curated record
AAAUUAAAAAAUAAAAGUGCAUUACUUCUCACUAAGUAGAAAAUUCUAACAGCUAAUUCUUCUAUGUGCAAAUAAAACUCUCUUUCUCUGAAAGAAAGAACAAAGUUUAACCAUCAGGAAAGCGCCCCCCACCCCGGACUUUUUCUCAUUUGAAAACAAAUUAAAUUAUGAGCUUAAACAACUUUACAAAAGAUACACUGUCGCCCUACUGAGCACUGAACUGCUCCGUCAGCAUUCAUCAUAGUAAUUACUGCGAACCCAUUAUUCCUGAUUUAUGUCCUGCUUUUCCCCUUACUUAUUUGACCAAUUUGCUAAUUAACCAAUGUCCUAAUUAAUGGACAUUUGGAUUAUUUCCAGUUUUGCUCUCAGCAAAUCACUAGACCUGUUCUAGACAGAUUGUGUCCCCCAGGAUCCAUACAUUGGACCCCAACCCCCCCCAGUGAUGGCAUUUGGAGGUGGGGCCUCUGGAGGUAAUUAGGAUUAAAGCGGGGACCCCCCCGUUGGGAUUAGGGCCCUUAUAAGAAGACGAGACUGGAGCUCUGUCUCCGCCAUGUAGACACAGCAAGAAGGCGCUGGUGUCUAAGCCAGGAAGCCUUGAUCUUGGACUUCCGGCCUCCAGAACUGUGAGAAAUAAAUGUCUAUUGUUUCAGUCACCCAGUCUGUGACAUUUUGUCAUAGCAGCCCGAGCUGACAGAGACAAGAUUCCAAAGUGAGAUGAACGACUGCCAAAUAUCUGCUCGGCCCUCUCUGAGCUGGCUUCCGCCUUUGUUGAGGGAACAGCAAGUAGGGCCACGAUGACAUCACCAAGGUCAGGACUGAUGACGGGGGAGGGGAUUCACCUGCUACUCGAUCAUUCUGGGAAGGCUAGGGGCUCUCGGCUGGGGCGGGGCACACCUGCUGGUGAGGGUAGGGGACCCAAAAGGGACCUAGCAGCAGGGCAGCUUCAGAAAGGCGAGGACGGACAGGUGAGGCCGCGUGGCUGGAGCAUUGUUUUGGAUACCAGCGUAUCCGAAAAAAUUUCCUGGGCAAGUUCCUUCUUCCCAGCACCAUAUUUUAAAAAAUUCCAAACCCACAGAAAAGUUGCAAGAAUAAUGCAACGAACACUCACAUGCCCUUCAUCUAGAUUCAUCAAGCGUUAACAUUUUGCCAUCUAUGCUUUCUCUGUCUACAGACACACCCACACUUGUGUGUGUGUUUGCCUGUUUGAAUCACGAUGUGUCAUCUCGUAAUGCUUCAGUAUGCAUCUUCCUGAGAACAAGGUCAUUUUUCUCCGUAACCACAGCCCCAGCAUCCCACUCAAGAAACUGAGCUUCGACACGAUACAAUGACCUAAUAAACCAUUCUUUUGAAAAAUGUCCCCAUUGUCUCCCCAAUGUUCUUUAUAGCGCCCCACCCCGACUCUGAUCCAGAAUCCAAUCAAAGAUCAGACAUGGCAUUUGUCUGUUGUGUCUGUUUAGCGUCUCCCUUAAUACAGAGGAAUCUCCCUGCCUGUUUUGUGUUUGGUGACACUGGCCAGCUGCCCUAUAGGAAGUCUCUACUCAGUUUUUCAGUACAGCUAGGACACGAGGGCCAAGUGGAGCUCUGGCACAGAGACGGCGAUUUCGCUCUAACGCCAUUCGAAUGACCCUUGACCCUUCGCUCUUGACCACUGUUCCGGAAUCUUAAGAUAGGGCCUUACUGGAACCCACACCGCCAUGAAGUAGGAACCUGGCGAUCCUAGAACCCCAACCUACACAUCGGCACCAAGAAGCACUGUUUCUUGGCCGUAAAAAAGACCAGCUCUUGCUCUGGACCUCGCGUGUCAUAAUUCUUCACGAGGGUGGGGCACGCCCGUCUUGCUUCCUCCGCCGCCCACCCCACACUAACCCGAGAGAGAACGAAGAGAGGUUCUAAUGCUGUAACUGCCCUGUGCUCGGUUCCCCGCCCCGCCGUCCUACCCCCAUUUCUUCCGUUGCCGUUAGGUGUCCCAACUCUCCAGGACACUUCCUAGCAGGCCACAGCCCCAGCGGAAGGCUGCUUCCCGGGGCUCCAGAUCCUUCUCAGUAAUCAGCUUUGCGAGGCAGAGGCAGCAGCUGCCCCAGGCUUCCCGGGCCUCGGCCUCGCGAUUGGAUUAGAAGGGAUGCGGUUAAUGGAAGAUGAGGGGGGAGGGGAGAGGCGACUUAAGUGCUGCUCCCGAGGGCAGUGACUUCCGGCUCCCUCUCUCCUCUCCCCUGCUGCCCCUCACUCAGUGAGAGACAAGGAGGCUGGCUGAGGGCCUCACCCUCUGCUUCCCCCAAAAGCCACCAACCUGAGUUCUUUACCUCAGGGGUCCUUCCGGCCAGCUCUGCAGGCUCGGGCAGUAUGACAAUCAGAAGGCAGCACUGGGAACUGCUUUUGAAAAUGCCAGCGUCCAUUUCCAGACAAUCUCUUAGCAGCUUCUUCCAAAAGAAAGCCCACCACUGAAAGGUGGGGUAACGGUGGGUACCCGGGGUCCUUGCCCCCAGCCCCUGCUUGCCAGUUAGAGUUGAGGGGGGCGUGCCAGCUCAAAAAGGGCUGGGGAUCUGAACCCAAAAGGGAAGGGCAAGACCUCACGCCGAGUGAGGACACGGACUACAACUUGAUUCUGGAGUUGGGAGGAUUAUCUCAGAUCAGGUGUCAUAAGCGAGCACUGGCAUCAGCUGUGGGAGCACCUGAGUCUGCGCCUGCCACGUGAACCUCUGGAAGGCGUCUUGUCCUUCGAAGCACUCGCUCGCCCUCGCUUUCCCCCGGACGAGACCAAUUGUCCUGGGCUGCUAUUUACACAAUGACACUAAGUCCGUUACAUGAGAUAUCAUUUUGCAGAGAGUCCAAUGGCCUUGCAGAAAGUUCCUUCAGAAGGGCUGUAACCCAGGGGAUCAAGAUAGGGCUGAGCGCCCCUAAAGCAGCGGUCCCCAACCUCUGUGGCACCAGGCACCGGUGCUCCUGUGAGAAUCUCAUGCCCGAUGACCUGAGAUGGAGCUGAGGCACUGGGGAGCGGCUGCAAACACAGAUGAAGCUUCUUUCUCACUGGUCUGCCGAUCACCUCCUGCUGUGCGGCCUGUUCCUAACAGUGGGGUCCCCUGCACUAGAAGCUGUGGCUGGGUGGUUAAAGGCCACGGCGUAAAGUGGAGACGAAGGGCUGAGUUCGAGCAAGCAGCAGCCUGAGAACAGCCCCACACCUCUCCCCUUCCCAAGAGCCAGGAACUCCAAAAAUGUGAGCAAACCUAACCUAUCAGCACUCGUCCAAACCCUACCUGCCAUCGCCAGGGGUGAGGUUAGCAAGAACAGCUGGGCCUCGGUUCCCCGCACAGAACGCUAGUUCUCAUUAAACCAGAGUCCCUGACCCUCCUGGGACAAACACCACAGCCCUCUGCAGGCUGGUUAGAGUCCACUCUAAUGACACAAUUAGUCACCUACUUGUCAAGCAGAGUGCCUGCUCAGAGGGGGUCUGGUACACUUACUCAGCAAACAGAAAUGCCUGUGCCGGCCUGGCAGCCUCACCCUCUGCCUGGGGUCCUGCCCGGUGUAAACCACUGCAUCCGGCAAAAUUCAGAGUGGGCACUGCAGACGUGCUGACAGAGCACCAAAGUCACUUGCUCGCGGCUUCUACCGCCCCCGCCAUCCUCCCUUUCAAGAACAGGAGGAAGAACGAGGUAUUCUAAUUCGUCUUGGGACCCUCCAUGGUGGCCUGGAGGGCCCGAGGUGCUGAAAUCCUGGGACCCGCCUGGCCAGCAGGCUUCCAAUCUAAAGAGGAGCAUGGGGAAAAGUGUUUGGGGCUGGCGGGGUGAAUGCAGGCGAGCCACCAGACACAAGACAGAGGUCAGGAGAGAACUGAGGGACAACAUGGGAGCCAGCUGGGUCUGAGGGGCUCGGCGGGGCUGUGGGAGGCUUUGCUGCUUCAUUCCACAGUGGCCAGGCUUCUCUGCUACCCCAAGGGAGAUGUGCCAGAGCGCAGUGCUGCUUGAAAACAACAGUAAGAAUGGCCGCAUCGUCGGUGCCUUUUCUACCGGUCCCAUCCUAUGCGCUUCAUACACACCCACAACGUGACAUCACUGACUCUGGAAGCUGGUUUCAAAUUGGCCCCAAAAGAAAAGGUCGACAGCCGCCGUUAUUCCUCAGAGUCGCCUUAAUAUCUAUGUCCAGGUCCUGGCCUGCGAACGCCCCUUCCGGGCUGAGACCCUGCGGCCUUCAACACCGGCCGCUUUGUCAGGCGGCUGCCCCCCGCCCCCCAGACGGGUUCCUGGAAUUCAGCUCCAAUGCUUUGGGUCAGCUGCAUCUCCCGCGGACUUUCCUCUUUGCAUAAUUCUGGGGGUCCCGGAGGGUGGAACAGGGAAGGGAAGUCUCCAGUUUUUGUUUCUCCAGAUCGUCCCAGGGCCUGUUGCUGAACAGUGUAUGUUUGAGAUAAAUACGUUGUAACCAGAAACGUUAUUUGUUUACAACUCCCAAACCCCACCCUAGUCAUUUUAAAUAAAUCCUGGGCUGGCGAAGUUUGUCAGGUCCCGUGGCAAAUAAGGCUCAA